Molecule: small RNA, 87 nt
Filed under: Klebsiella sp. RIT-PI-d
Lineage: Bacteria; Pseudomonadati; Pseudomonadota; Gammaproteobacteria; Enterobacterales; Enterobacteriaceae
Description: t44 RNA
Rfam family: t44 RNA
About the family: This family consists of a number of bacterial RNA genes of between 135 and 170 bases in length.
Source: Rfam by way of RNAcentral
CUCACUUUGUGUAAUAACACACACGUAUCGGCACAUAUUCCGGGGUGCCCUUUGGGGUCGGUAAUAUGGGAUACGUGGAGGCUUAAC